Molecule: long non-coding RNA, 1802 nt
Filed under: Glycine max (soybean)
Lineage: Eukaryota; Viridiplantae; Streptophyta; Magnoliopsida; Fabales; Fabaceae
Description: long non-coding RNA (GMAX_LNC001186)
Source: RNAcentral
UAUUCUUAAGUCUAUGUAUUUCUCUUUAUUCUUAUGUUUAUGCCUUUCUCAUGUCCUUAUUUCUCUCUUUACCUUUGCAAGCCCUCAGGAUAGCUAUCUACCUUUUUUAGGACUCUCUGCCUUUGCAAGUCUCUAUUGACUCUAUAAGUCUUCAAAGGUUGGAUUCAAUUCUACAAUUAGGAUUUAUGUCUUUCAUUGCAUUUAGUGUUUAUGGAUUUCAUCUAGAUUACUCUUAAAUCUAUCUCUUCCUAUUUUAUGUUUCUAUCCCUGUAGGUCUCCAAUUCUUUCACUUUACCUACAUAUCCUCAAUUUUUCUUUCUUUUUGUACAUUUGCAUGACACCUUGUGUCAUUGUCUCAAGUGGGUGAGAGAGCUUUUAGAGACAAAAAUGUAAGUGGAAUUAGUUAAUGGGACAAAUUAUUUUUGAACUUUCAAUGCAUGGGUCCAAAAUUAAUUUUCAACUAUUAUUUGAAAGAUAGUAAUAAAUAAAAGACUAAAAUGUUAUUAAAUAUUUGAAUAUUUUAUUAGUAUAAUAUUGAUAAAAAUAUUUAACAUUUAAUAUUAAUAAAAAUAUUUGAAUAUUAUAAUAUUGUAAUUUUUUUAUUAUCUUUCAAAUAAUGGUUAAAAGUUAAUUUUGGACCCAUAUAAUAAAAGUUUAAUUUGUCACAUAAAUGUUUAAUUUGGCCUAUAUUUUUCUUUAAAAAGUUUUCUUUCCCAUUUGGUCUUAGUGUGCAAGAGUGACAUAAAACGUCUUACAAAUGUAGAGAAAGAGAAAUUGAGAACAUGCAAACACAGAGUGAGAGAAUCAUGGACUUAUGAAAGUAGAAACAUGAAAAUAAGAAGAAAGAAGAUAGCCCUAAGAGUGAAAUAAUAAUAAUAAUAAUAAUAAUAAUAAUAAUAAUAAGGUCUCUCAAAAAUUAUAUAUAAACCUAUAUUUGGUUAAAAAAAUUUAAAUGUCUUUAAUUAUUUGUUAGAAAGUCCAAAUGACUUAAUAUUUUAGUCAUAUAUUUAAGGACAAAUAGAUUGAAAAGUUGAUAUGAUUUAGAGUUUGUUUGGAUAUAAAUUUCUUUAGAAAUACUUGUAGAAGAAAAAAAUAAAUUAAAUUUUUCCAUAAGUUAAAAUUAGAUCUUUAUUAGUUAAUCAUUAAUUAAUUUGUAGAUGACCUCUCAUCUUUUAGAUAAGUUAUAUAAGAAAAUUUUUAUAAAUUAAUUAAUGAAAAACUUAUUUUAGCUUAUGAAAAAAUUCAUCUUAUUUUUUUUUCUUAUUUUCUUAUCUUAAAAGUAUUUCUAAAGAAAUUUAGACAUAUUCUUGAUAUCUUAGUCAUACAUGGACAUAUAGAUAUAGGAGGGGCACCCAGGAGCUUUAGCUCCCCCUCUCAAACUUCUUUUAACUACAUAUCCCCAAAGUCGGUCAUGAGCAAUGGGGUUGCAUGUGUUGGAGAAGAUAAUGCUUUUGCUGAUUCUAAGUCCAUUAAAAAACAAGAGGAUGCUUAUGAUUGUUCUAAUCACUCUUAAGAUUUAAAUAUAUCUGGUCACGAGGUGCCUAAUGAUUUUGACACUGAAAAAGUUGACAAUAGUAAACCAAAAACAGGACAGACAAGCUACCAAGAAACCACAAAAGAAAUCAAGCUUGAAACAACUAAAUCAAAUCGGCAAAACCUUCAAAGGUUCAAGUUGCUGCUGACGAGAAGGAAACUGAGAAAAUGCUUGACUUUCAGCAACAGCAAGAAAGUUCCCAGUCUGUUGACGCAGCAGGACCACCAGAAAUUGUUUUUAAUUGAAUUGACAAAUCGAUUUGUCACCC